AGCAGCCGCGGUGAUUCCAGCUCCAAUGGCGUAUAUUAAAGUUGUUGCAGUUAAAAAGCUCGUAGUUGAAUUUCGGGAUCAGCGCGUCGGUCGUGCCUCCGGUAUGCACUGGCGUCGCUGCUUUCUCCCUUCUGAGGAACCGUGAUGUCAUUAAUUUGGUGUCGCGGGAAAUCAGGACUGUUACUUUGAAAAAAUUAGAGUGUUUAAAGCGGGCACGCGCUUGAAUACAUUAGCAUGGAAUAACGAAAUAGGACAUUCGAUCUUAUUUUGUUGGUUUCUAGGAUUGACGUAAUGAUUAAUAGGGAUAGUUGGGGGCAUUAGUAUUCAAUUGUCAGAGGUGAAAUUCUUGGAUUUAU
This 356-nucleotide ribosomal RNA is filed under the name uncultured Glomeraceae. Its description in RNAcentral is "SSU rRNA". It matches the Rfam family "Eukaryotic small subunit ribosomal RNA", at positions 569 to 929 of the family's 1831-position model. Lineage: Eukaryota; Fungi; Glomeromycota; Glomeromycetes; Glomerales; Glomeraceae. The record is from RNAcentral.